AAAUUUGAAGGACAUGCGAAUGAUGUGUGUGUGGAAGAACUACUGGAAGACAUUCCUUUCAGAAGUCCCUCAUGAUAGGGAAUCCCAAGGCUGGAAAACAUCAUUCAAGUGGGCAAUCAAAUUACAUUUGUUAUUAAAAGCCACCCUGAGUGAAUCCCAGCACUGCCCUACAUAAAAUAUAUUUUUAAUUAUACUUCCUAUUUGAUGUCUGACUCCCCCUCCUCCUUCACUAAAAGAUGGAAAUGUGUCAUGUACCAGUAAUUCAUCCAAUGACUGCUCCUCAGUUCCAAAUUCACUGUUGACUGCCUGCUCUGCAAACGUAGAGGAAGUGACCUCAUAAUGUUUCAAGCUACCACUUCCUGUUGAUUGUGAUGAAAUGCCAGCUGAGACACAUGCCUUAGGAGCUAAGUGGCUUCUGUACUUGACCACUAUGAAGACUGCUGUGGAGAGGGUCCUUUUGGAUGCAAUGGAGCAGGGGCACCUAAUCCCUGAAUCACAGGCCUGUACUUGGCCACACAGCAAGAGAUGGGACCAUCUAGUUGCAGGAAAACAAACAAGUUCAGGACUCCCACUGAUUGUACAUUAUGCCUCAGCCGAGGUGCUCACCCCAUUCUCUAUGAUGCGACAAGAAGCCCCUUGGGAGCAUUUCAGGCCCACUCUGUACUUCUGUCAUUGUGCUCCUCACAGUCUGAAGCACCUAAGCUGAAGAGUCCCUUGAGAACAAGUACUAUCCCAUGGUUUCAUAAACUUUCUUCCAUUUGUGGUUCUUGACAAGUUAAAUUUAAAGUGCAUCUUAUCAAGAUGGAUAAACCCAAGUUUUCCAGAGCUGGAAUAUAGAAAAUGGAUGGACAUAUAAGUCCCACUCACCCAUAGCCAAGGCAUGGAGACCUGAACACAGCUGGGCCCUGGACAUCACCUUUCAUUCUGGAUCUACUAUGAAAGACAUCAGAGUUCAGGAGGAGACUGGGCAUCAUGUUAUUCAGUAGAGACGGGGUAUCACCAUGUUGACCAGGAUGGUCUCGAUCUCCUGACCUCGUGAUCCAACUGCCUCAAGGUCAAGCUCUUCAGGCCCACCUUGAGCCUUCCGAUGACCUGGACAGGCCCAGCUCUUUCCUCCCAGUGGCCUCUGCAGGCCUAGCUUUUGCCUCACAGGUAUUCCUUGAACAGGUUUCUACUUGCCUCCUGGUAGCCUUGACAAGCCCAAGUGUUGCCUCACUCUAACCUCAUUAGGACCAGCUCACAGUGGCCUCUCCAGACCCAGCAUCUGUCCCCUGACAGGCUGUCCAGGCCAAAACUUCUAGUCACCCUCUUCAGGCACAGCUUCUGUCUCACACUGGACUCUUUAGGUACAGCUCAUGCCUUUCGGCGGCCUCUUGAGGCCCAGUUUCCUGCAUCUCUGUGGCCUCUCCGGACUGACAGAUUUCUCAAAUCUGCCAUUCCAGGUCCAACUCCUGCCUCCAGUCGGCCCCAAUAGGCUUAAACUCUGCCUCACAGCAGACACCCCAGGCCAAGCGUGUGCCUCACCACAGUGCCCCCAGGCCAAGCUCCUGCCUUUCAGCAGCAUCUGCAGGCCCAGCUAAUGCCUCCCAAUGGCCUGUCUAGGUGAAGGCUCAUGCAUCACAACGGCCAUUCUGAUCAAGCUUUUAC
Callithrix jacchus (white-tufted-ear marmoset) is the source of this 1647-nucleotide non-coding RNA. The record is from RefSeq and is a predicted model, not a curated record. NCBI's taxonomy places the organism in Eukaryota, Metazoa, Chordata, Mammalia, Primates, Cebidae.